GACGAACGCUGGCGGCGUGCCUAAUACAUGCAAGUUGAGCGAUGAAGCUUGGUGCUUGCACCAAUUUGAAGAGCAGCGAACGGGUGAGUAACGCGUGGGGAAUCUGCCUUUGAGCGGGGGACAACAUUUGGAAACGAAUGCUAAUACCGCAUAACAACUUUAAACAUAAGUUUUAAGUUUGAAAGAUGCAAUUGCAUCACUCAAAGAUGAUCCCGCGUUGUAUUAGCUAGUUGGUGAGGUAAAGGCUCACCAAGGCGAUGAUACAUAGCCGACCUGAGAGGGUGAUCGGCCACAUUGGGACUGAGACACGGCCCAAACUCCUACGGGAGGCAGCAGUAGGGAAUCUUCGGAAAUGGACGAAAGUCUGACCGAGCAACGCCGCGUGAGUGAAGAAGGUUUUCGGAUCGUAAAACUCUGUUGGUAGAGAAGAACGUUGGUGAGAGUGGAAAGCUCAUCAAGUGACGGUAACUACCCAGAAAGGGACGGCUAACUACGUG
Molecule: ribosomal RNA, 497 nt
Filed under: uncultured bacterium
Lineage: Bacteria
Description: partial 16S ribosomal RNA
Rfam family: Bacterial small subunit ribosomal RNA
Source: RNAcentral